UGAGUUUGAUCCUGGCUCAGGAUGAACGCUAGCGGUAUGCUUAACACAUGCAAGUCGUACGGAAAAGAAAUUUUUAGUGGCGAACGGGUGAGUAACACGUGAGAAUCUGCCUUUAGGAAGGGGAUAACAUUUAGAAACAUUUGCUAAUACCCUAUAUGCUUUACGGUGAAAGAAUUGAUUCGCCUAAAGAGGAGCUCGCGUCUGAUUAGCUAGUUGGUAGGGUAAAGGCCUACCAAGGCGACGAUCAGUAGUUGGUCUGAGAGGACGGCCAGCCACAUUGGAACUGAGACACGGUCCAGACUCUUACGGGAGGCAGCAGUGAGGAAUUUUCUGCAAUGGGCGCAAGCCUGACAGAGCAAUACCGCGUGAGGGAUGAAUGCCUACGGGUUGUAAACCUCUUUUCUCAAGGAGGAAGAUAUGACGUUACUUGAGGAAUAAGCAUCGGCUAACUCUGUGCCAGCAGCCGCGGUAAUACAGGGGAUGCAAGUGUUAUCCGGAAUUAUUGGGCGUAAAGCGUCUGCAGGUUGAUCUAUAAGUCUUUUGUUAAAUCUUUAGGCUUAACCUAAAAACAGCAAAAGAAACUAUUUAUCUUGAGUAUGGUAGAGGUAAGGGGAAUUUC
This 619-nucleotide ribosomal RNA is filed under the name uncultured eukaryote. Its description in RNAcentral is "bacterial SSU rRNA". It matches the Rfam family "Bacterial small subunit ribosomal RNA", at positions 1 to 670 of the family's 1533-position model. The record is from RNAcentral.